Small nuclear RNA from Ochotona princeps (American pika), 107 nucleotides. The record is from Ensembl. Lineage: Eukaryota; Metazoa; Chordata; Mammalia; Lagomorpha; Ochotonidae.
GUGCUUGCUUCGGCAGCACAUAUACUAAAAUUGGAAUGAUACAGAGAAGAUUAGCAUGGCCCCUGUGCAAGGAUGACGCACAGAUUUGUGAAGCAUUCCAUAUUAAA